This is a long non-coding RNA of Cyprinus carpio carpio, 1164 nucleotides long. The record is from Ensembl. NCBI's taxonomy places the organism in Eukaryota, Metazoa, Chordata, Actinopteri, Cypriniformes, Cyprinidae.
CUUGUAAUCACUUGUCAUCUGUGCAUAUUUAUCUCCUGAUUUAAACAAGAUGUCUUUGUCACUCCAGAAGGGCCUCACAUUUUAGCCGGAAGCAACGGUUUGUAGUUAAAAACAUCUUAAAGAUGGAUUUAUUUCUUACAUACAAGCAGCUUUUGGCUUCUCACGAUGUUAAUUGAUGGACCGGAGAUGUUUUUAUCAGCUGUUUGGACUCUCAUUCUGAUGGCACCCAUUCACUGAAGAGGAUCCAUUGGUGAGCAAGUGAUUUAAUGCUACAUUUCUCCAAAUCUGAUGAAGAAAAAAAAAAAUAAUCUACAUCUUUGAUGGCCUGAGGUGUCAGAUGGGUCACGCUGAAGUGGGUCACCAUAAACUCUGGGGACAUAAGAACGAAAUGCUCUCAGUGCAGUGUGUGUGAGUCACAUCUCAGUGAUGAACAACAGACACUACACCACAAUUCAUUAGCAGACAUGACUGCUGCAUCAUUAUCUGCUCAUAUGUGUAGCACGACCGCUUGUGUGUCCCGAUGUGAGCAGAGAUAUGAAGAUAUUGAUCCAGUAUAUUUGAGACUGAUAUGAUGCUGCUACACUGUAAAAAAAAUUACCGUGAUUUUAACAGUAAAAACUGUGAAAAUGCUACAGUACAAACCUGUUAAAUGGGUAACGGUAAGUUCUUGUAAAAUGUAAAGGGAAAAAACGUAAACUGACGAAUUUGAUCAAAUUUGAAUUUGAUGUUUUUUCUUUGAAAUAACUAUGUUUCUUCUUAGUUUUUUCUUAUCUGUUAUGGUGAUUGGGGUCGUAUGUUACAUAUAAAUUAAUGUUUAUUGCAUAUUUCAGUUUAAUGAGUCUCACCAUGAUGGUGUUUGGUGCUUGUGUGAAUGACACUGUGCACCUUCUAUAUAUGUUAUUAUUUAAAAGCUGCUUGUGAUGGGCUUUGGUUCAUCACGUGACUUUCUCAUCACCACCUGCAUUUGGUGGUUAUUAGUGUAUUACAAAGGUACGAAACAGAUUUCAGUACUUCGAUAUGUUGGUAUAUUAACAUUAUAACAGUUAAUGAAAUUAUGGUAUUUAACUGUAAAUUUAAGUUAAAACCAUAAAACCUAAAAUGUUGUUACCAUAUUUUUUCAUGGUAGAAAUCUGGCAACCACAGCUGCCGUUUUUUUUUUUUUUU